Molecule: non-coding RNA, 77 nt
Filed under: unclassified sequences
Description: skipping-rope RNA
Rfam family: skipping-rope RNA
About the family: Firmicutes, Fusobacteria, AlphaProteobacteria, Spirochaetes. Downstream gene
Source: Rfam by way of RNAcentral
AUUCGCUGAGGGCGGAACAGGCAGCCGCCGCACCUUUAUGGUCUUAAAGAGAUGCAGAUUGUCACCUGCCAGCGGAA